UUGUAAAAAUAUCAUCCAUUUCUACUGUUAGAAACAAGCGUGGCUGACAAAAUAAUUAGACAGUUGCAUAUGAUGUGCCACGUGUACCUCAUUCUAAUGUACAAGGACUAGUUUUUAACGGUAAAAAUUGAUGAAAUUUUUAAUA
Molecule: non-coding RNA, 145 nt
Organism: Gossypium raimondii (Peruvian cotton)
Lineage: Eukaryota; Viridiplantae; Streptophyta; Magnoliopsida; Malvales; Malvaceae
Source: Rfam